Molecule: long non-coding RNA, 1803 nt
Organism: Serinus canaria (Common canary)
Lineage: Eukaryota; Metazoa; Chordata; Aves; Passeriformes; Fringillidae
Source: Ensembl
CCCGAAGGGUUCUGAGGGGUUUGGGGGGCUCUGAGGAGCAUCUGGGGGAGUUUUUGGGGGGUCCUGAGGGGAUUUUGGGGGUUUUGAGGGUCCUGAAGGAUUCUGAGGGAUUUGGAGGAGUCUGAGGAGGAUUUGGGGGAGUUUUUGGGGCAUCUUGAUGACAUUUUUGGGCUAUUUGGGGUCUUUUUGGGGAGGAUUUGGGGGAUUUCGGGAUCAUUUCGAGGCACUUCGGGUUCAUUUCUCUCCAAUUUGGGACAUUCUGGGCUCAGUCCUCUUUAUUUUGAGGCAUUCUGAGCUCAUUUCUCCCAAUUUUGAGGCAUUCUGAGCUCAUUUCUCUUAAUUUUGGGACAUUUUGGGUUCAUUUCUCUCAUUUUUUCUCAAUUUCGGGCUAAUUUCUCUCAAUUUUUCUCAACUUUGGGCUCAUUUCUCUCCAAUUUGGGACAUCCUGAGCUCAUUUCUCUCCUUUUCAGGCUCAUUUCUCUCCAUUUUUCUCAAUUUUGGGCUCAUUUCUCUCCACUCUUGGACAUUUUGGGCUCAUUUCUCUCCAUUCUGGAAUAUUUCGGGCUCAUUUUUCUCAAUUUUUCUCAAUUUCGGGCUCAUUUCUCUCAAUUUUGGGCUCAUUUCUCUGCACUGUGGGACAUUUUGGGCUCAUUUCUCUCCAUUUCGGGCUCAUUUCUCUCAAUUUUUCUCAGUUUCGGGCUCAUUUCUCUGCAUUUUGGGAGAUCCUGAGCUCAUUUCUCUCCUUUCUGGGACAUUUUGGGCUCAUUUUGGGCCAUUUUCUCCUCAUUUCUCUCCAUUUUCACCUCAUUCCCCUCCAUUCUCAACCCUUUUAAUCCCCUUUUUUCCCCAAUUUCUCCCUUUUUUCCCCCAGAUGCUGCCGUGCUCGCUGUGGCCGCUGCUGGCUCUGGCCCUCGGGGGGUCCCCCCACGCCCCCCACCCCCAUUUCGGGGGUCCCGAGUCCCACGGCCACGACCCCGAGGGGCUUUUUGGGUACCACGCCGCCAUUUGGGGGCGCAGGAGGCGCGGGAGCAGCGGGAGCUGCCCCCGGAGGAGUCCCGCAGGAGGCUGGGGCUGCUGGUGGGGCUGAUGGACUCGGACUCCUCCGGGGCCGUGUCCCGGGAGGAGCUGCGGGCCUGGAUCCUGCGCAGGCACCGCGGCUCCNNNNNNNNNNNNNNNNNNNNNNNNNNNNNNNNNNNNNNNNNNNNNNNNNNNNNNNNNGAUUUUUUGAGGAUUUUUUGAGGAUUUUUUGGGAUUUUUUUAGGGUAAUUUUGGGGGAUUUUUUGCGAUUUUUUGGGGAUUUUUUGGGGUAUUUUUUGGGGAGUUUUGGGAUUUUUUUAGGGUUUUUUGGAUUUUUUGGGGGAUUUUUUAGAGUCAUUUUCGAGGAUUUUUUUAGGAUUUUUUGGGAUUUUUUAGGGUAAUUUUGGGGGAUUUUUUUGGGAUUUUUUUAGGGAAAUUUUUAGGAUUUUUUUGGAUUUUUUGAGGAUUUUUUGAGGAUUUUUUGGGAUUUUUUAGGGUAAUUUUGAAGGUGUUUUUGCCAUUUUUUGGGGGAUUUUUUUUGGAUUUUUGGGGAUUUUUUAGGGUAAUUUUGGAGGAUUUUUUCCGAUUUUUUGGGGUAUUUUGGGGGAUUUUUGGGAUUUUUUUAGGGUUUUUUUUGGAUUUUUUGGGGGAUUUUUUAGGGUAAUUUUCGAGGAUUUUUUGCGAUUUUUUUGGGAUUUUUUUGGGUAUUUUGGGGAGAUUUUUGGGAUUUUUUUAGGGUUUUUAGGGAUUUUUUUAGGGUUUUUUUUGAGUUUUUGGGGGAUUUUU